UAUCUAUUUAUGACAAAGGAUAACAGCAUAUCGGGCUGUAUUAGUAGCAGCACUGCCAGCAGAUCGAAGGAAGUGAUUAUUCCCCUCUAUUCGGCACUGGUGAGCCCACAACUGGAGUAUUGU
Long non-coding RNA from Gopherus evgoodei (Goodes thornscrub tortoise), 123 nucleotides. RefSeq lists it as uncharacterized. NCBI's taxonomy places the organism in Eukaryota, Metazoa, Chordata, Testudines, Testudinidae. The transcript has 3 exons. The record is from RefSeq and is a predicted model, not a curated record.